RNAcentral lists this transfer RNA (62 nucleotides) under Massilibacterium senegalense. It matches the Rfam family "tRNA", at positions 6 to 65 of the family's 71-position model. Rfam says of the family: Transfer RNA (tRNA) molecules are approximately 80 nucleotides in length. Their secondary structure includes four short double-helical elements and three loops (D, anti-codon, and T loops). Lineage: Bacteria; Bacillati; Bacillota; Bacilli; Caryophanales; Bacillaceae. The record is from RNAcentral.
AUUAGCUCAGCCGGUAGAGCAUCUGACUUUUAAUCAGAGGGUCAGAGGUUCGAAUCCUCUAU